This 442-nucleotide ribosomal RNA is filed under the name uncultured bacterium. Its description in RNAcentral is "bacterial SSU rRNA". It matches the Rfam family "Bacterial small subunit ribosomal RNA", at positions 354 to 796 of the family's 1533-position model. The record is from RNAcentral.
GUGGGGAAUCUUGCGCAAUGGACGAAAGUCUGACGCAGCGACGCCGCGUGGGGGAUGAAGGCUUUCGGGUUGUAAACCCCUGUUGCCCGGGACGAACUUCUGGUUUCGACCAGAUUGACGGUACCGGGUGAGGAAGCACCGGCUAACUCCGUGCCAGCAGCCGCGGUAAUACGGAGGGUGCGAGCGUUGUCCGGAAUCACUGGGCGUAAAGGGCGCGUAGGUGGCGCGACAAGUCAACGGUGAAAGCUCGGCGCUCAACGCCGAGUCGGCCGUCGAUACUGUUGGGCUUGAGCACUGUAGAGGCUAAUGGAAUUCCGGGUGUAGCGGUGGAAUGCGUAGAGAUCCGGAAGAACACCGGUGGCGAAGGCGGUUAGCUGGGCAGUUGCUGACACUGAGGCGCGACAGCGUGGGGAGCAAACAGGAUUAGAUACCCUAGUAGUCC